ACACUGGUGGUUCAGUGGUAGAAUUCUUGCCUUCCUUGCAGGAGAUCCAGGUUUGAGUCCUGACCAAUGCA
This 71-nucleotide transfer RNA is filed under the name Loxodonta africana (African savanna elephant). It matches the Rfam family "tRNA". From Rfam's summary of the family: Transfer RNA (tRNA) molecules are approximately 80 nucleotides in length. Their secondary structure includes four short double-helical elements and three loops (D, anti-codon, and T loops). Lineage: Eukaryota; Metazoa; Chordata; Mammalia; Proboscidea; Elephantidae. The record is from Rfam by way of RNAcentral.